RNAcentral lists this long non-coding RNA (501 nucleotides) under Lepisosteus oculatus (spotted gar). Its description in RNAcentral is "lncRNA (ENSLOCG00000021291.1)". The record is from RNAcentral. Lineage: Eukaryota; Metazoa; Chordata; Actinopteri; Semionotiformes; Lepisosteidae.
UGUAGAUAUUGCUACACCUGUAGGUAACUACUGAAGUGUCUCUAAGAAUCUAGAUAAAAUGUCUAACACCUUGCAGUGUAAACAUUUCCAGCUUCAAAGCGAAGGGGAUGUUUGCUAAGAAGUAGGUGGUUCAGAUUCAGACAUCAAAACAAUCAUAAUGUUUACCUUGGUUUCCCUUAGUUAAAUACUGAAAGUUCUGGGUAAAUGAUUGUCAUCAACAGUCCAGAAAGACACCAUAUAAGAAGAUGAAGGACGAGACAGUGAGGAGAACAAGGGUGACCAGACCACAUGAAAGAUAUCAGAGACUCCCGUGGAUGAAGAUGUGGGGCCUGAUGUAAGGAGCCAGAUAUCCCGAGUAUCAUGAUGAUUUAUAAUGCAUUAAUGCAGAAGUGUUGAAUUUGGUCUAUAGUCCUUCAGGUUUCAGAAAGUUUAACUAAACUUUCUAUAAUCCAGGUGAAAUUAUUGGUGUGUAUAAAAUGUUAAUAUGAUAAUAAACAUUCC